CCUUCGGGGUGACGAUAGGGGAUUGAGCGGGCGGACGGGUGAGUAACACGUGGGUAACCUACCUUCGAGAUCGGGAUAACUCCGGGAAACCGGGGCUAAUACCGAAUAAUCUGUUGGACCGCAUGGUCCGACAGUAAAAGGCGGCUUCUGCCGUCACUCGAAGAUGGACCCGCGGCGCAUUAGCUAGUUGGUAAGGUAACGGCUUACCAAGGCGACGAUGCGUAGCCGACCUGAGAGGGUGAUCGGCCACACUGGGACUGAGACACGGCCCAGACUCCUACGGGAGGCAGCAGUAGGGAAUCUUCCGCAAUGGACGAAAGUCUGACGGAGCAACGCCGCGUGAACGAUGAAGGUCUUCGGAUCGUAAAGUUCUGUUGUUAGGGAAGAACAAGUACCAGAGGAAAUGCUGGUACCUUGACGGUACCUAACCAGAAAGCCCCGGCUAACUACGUGCCAGCAGCCGCGGUAAUACGUAGGGGGCAAGCGUUGUCCGGAAUUAUUGGGCGUAAAGCGCGCGCAGGCGGUUCCUUAAGUCUGAUGUGAAAGCCCACAGCUCAACUGUGGAGGGCCAUUGGAAACUGGGGAACUUGAGUACAGAAGAGGAGAGUGGAAUUCCACGUGUAGCGGUGAAAUGCGUAGAUAUGUGGAGGAACACCAGUGGCGAAGCGACUCUCUGGUCUGUAACUGACGCUGAGGCGCGAAAGCGUGGUAGCAAACAGGAUUAGAUACCCUGGUAGUCCACGCCGUAAACGUUGAGUGCUAGUGUUAGGGGUUUCCGCCCCUUAGUGCUGAAGUUAACGCAUUAAGCACUCCGCCUGGGGAGUACGGCCGCAAGCUGAAACUCAAAGAAUUGACG
Molecule: ribosomal RNA, 856 nt
Filed under: Bacillus sp. SB31
Lineage: Bacteria; Bacillati; Bacillota; Bacilli; Caryophanales; Bacillaceae
Description: bacterial SSU rRNA
Rfam family: Bacterial small subunit ribosomal RNA
Source: RNAcentral